UACGGAGGAUCCGAGCGUUAUCCGGAUUUAUUGGGUUUAAAGGGUGCGUAGGUGGAUUGGUAAGUCAGUGGUGAAAGUUUGCAGCUUAACUGUAAAAGUGCCUUCGAAACUGGUUUCCUUGAGUGUAGAUGAAGUAGGCGGAAUUUGUGGUGUAGCGGUGAAAUGCAUAGAUAUCACGAGGAACUCCGAUUGCGCAGGCAGCUUACUAAACUACUACUGACGCUCAGGCACGAAGGCGUGGGGAUCAAACAGGAUUAGAUACCCGUGUAGUCCCU
Molecule: ribosomal RNA, 275 nt
Filed under: uncultured prokaryote
Description: partial 16S ribosomal RNA
Rfam family: Bacterial small subunit ribosomal RNA
Source: RNAcentral